This 785-nucleotide ribosomal RNA is filed under the name uncultured bacterium. RNAcentral's name for it is "bacterial SSU rRNA". It matches the Rfam family "Bacterial small subunit ribosomal RNA", at positions 8 to 798 of the family's 1533-position model. The record is from RNAcentral.
AGAGUUUGAUCAUGGCUCAGGACGAACGCUGGCGGCGUGCUUAACACAUGCAAGUCGAACGGAAAGGCCCUUCGGGGUACUCGAGUGGCGAACGGGUGAGUAACACGUGGGUGAUCUGCCCUGCACUUUGGGAUAAGCCUGGGAAACUGGGUCUAAUACCGAAUAGGACCGCGCGCUUCAUGGUGUGUGGUGGAAAGCUUUUGCGGUGUGGGAUGGGCCCGCGGCCUAUCAGCUUGUUGGUGGGGUAAUGGCCUACCAAGGCGACGACGGGUAGCCGGCCUGAGAGGGUGACCGGCCACACUGGGACUGAGAUACGGCCCAGACUCCUACGGGAGGCAGCAGUGGGGAAUAUUGCACAAUGGGCGCAAGCCUGAUGCAGCGACGCCGCGUGAGGGAUGACGGCCUUCGGGUUGUAAACCUCUUUCACCAUCGACGAAGGUCCGGGUUUUCUCGGGCUGACGGUAGGUGGAGAAGAAGCACCGGCCAACUACGUGCCAGCAGCCGCGGUAAUACGUAGGGUGCGAGCGUUGUCCGGAAUUACUGGGCGUAAAGAGCUCGUAGGUGGUUUGUCGCGUUGUUCGUGAAAUCUCACGGCUUAACUGUGAGCGUGCGGGCGAUACGGGCAGACUUGAGUACUGCAGGGGAGACUGGAAUUCCUGGUGUAGCGGUGGAAUGCGCAGAUAUCAGGAGGAACACCGGUGGCGAAGGCGGGUCUCUGGGCAGUAACUGACGCUGAGGAGCGAAAGCGUGGGGAGCGAACAGGAUUAGAUACCCUGGUAGUCCAA